This 300-nucleotide long non-coding RNA is filed under the name Rosa chinensis. Its description in RNAcentral is "sRNA RchiOBHm_Chr3g0469091". The record is from RNAcentral. Lineage: Eukaryota; Viridiplantae; Streptophyta; Magnoliopsida; Rosales; Rosaceae.
GUAUAGUCAUGAUCGGAACCCUUACCGGAAGCCAAUGGGGUAUCUAUGAUGCCUGCAAAGUUUUCAUGGGCGUACCAACUACUGGCAGCGCCGCUCCUGCUGCCACUGAGCUUGCCAAUGCUUGAAUCCAAAACGGAUGGAUGUCAAACUAUCAAAAGACUUCACACUAUCAAUUCUACAAGUAGUCAUUUUUUUAUUUUUUGUUACUUUUUUUGUAAAAUUAUCAUAUCAGUUAGUCAAAAACAAAGAAGGCAGCAGAUUAUAUUUAUCAGGGAUUAUGCGGAAAGCCGAGUUUCUGAC